CUUUAUAACAGCGCUCGAUACCCUGGUAGUCCACGCCGUAAACGAUGUCGACUUGGAGGUUGUUCCCUUGAGGAGUGGCUUCCGGAGCUAACGCGUUAAGUCGACCGCCUGGGGAGUACGGCCGCAAGGUUAAAACUCAAAUGAAUUGACGGGGGCCCGCACAAGCGGUGGAGCAUGUGGUUUAAUUCGAUGCAACGCGAAGAACCUUACCUACUCUUGACAUCCAGAGAACUUAGCAGAGAUGCUUUGGUGCCUUCGGGAACUCUGAGACAGGUGCUGCAUGGCUGUCGUCAGCUCGUGUUGUGAAAUGUUGGGUUAAGUCCCGCAACGAGCGCAACCCUUAUCCUUUGUUGCCAGCGGUUCGGCCGGGAACUCAAAGGAGACUGCCAGUGAUAAACUGGAGGAAGGUGGGGAUGACGUCAAGUCAUCAUGGCCCUUACGAGUAGGGCUACACACGUGCUACAAUGGCAUAUACAAAGAGAAGCGACCUCGCGAGAGCAAGCGGACCUCAUAAAGUAUGUCGUAGUCCGGAUUGGAGUCUGCAACUCGACUCCAUGAAGUCGGAAUCGCUAGUAAUCGUAGAUCAGAAUGCUACGGUGAAUACGUUCCCGGGCCUUGUACACACCGCCCGUCACACCAUGGGAGUGGGUUGCAAAAGAAGUAGGUAGCUUAACCUUCGGGAGGGCGCUACCACUUGAUAUGUCCC
RNAcentral lists this ribosomal RNA (706 nucleotides) under endophytic bacterium. RNAcentral's name for it is "bacterial SSU rRNA". It matches the Rfam family "Bacterial small subunit ribosomal RNA", at positions 765 to 1470 of the family's 1533-position model. The record is from RNAcentral.